AGAGUUUGAUCAUGGCUCAGGACGAACGCUGGCGGCGCGCUUAACACAUGCAAGUCGAACGGUGAACGGGGCUUCGGCCCCGGAAUCAGUGGCGAACGGGUGCGUAACACGUGGGCAACCUGCCCCAGACACUGGGAUAACUCCGGGAAACCGGGGCUAAUACCGGAUACUCCGCUUGGAUCGCAUGGUCCGAUCGGGAAAGCUUUUGCGGUCUGGGAUGGGCCCGCGGCCUAUCAGCUUGUUGGUGAGGUAACGGCUCACCAAGGCGACGACGGGUAGCUGGUCUGAGAGGACGACCAGCCACACUGGGACUGAGAUACGGCCCAGACUCCUACGGGAGGCAGCAGUGGGGAAUCUUGCGCAAUGGGCGAAAGCCUGACGCAGCGACGCCGCGUGGGGGAUGAAGGCCCUCGGGUUGUAAACCCCUUUCGGCAGGGACGAAGCGAUUGUGACGGUACCUGCAGAAGAAGCCUCGGCUAACUACGUGCCAGCAGCCGCGGUA
RNAcentral lists this ribosomal RNA (502 nucleotides) under uncultured Actinomycetes bacterium. Its description in RNAcentral is "bacterial SSU rRNA". It matches the Rfam family "Bacterial small subunit ribosomal RNA", at positions 8 to 522 of the family's 1533-position model. Lineage: Bacteria; Bacillati; Actinomycetota; Actinomycetes. The record is from RNAcentral.